AUUGAACGCUGGCGGCAUGCCUAACACAUGCAAGUCGAACGGCAGCGCGGGCUUCGGCCUGGCGGCGAGUGGUGGACGGGUGAGGAAUGCAUCGGAAUCUGCCUCGACGUGGGGGAUAACGUAGGGAAACUUACGCUAAUACCGCAUACGUCCUAACGGGGAAUGCAGGGGAUCGAAAGACCUUGCGCGGCGGGAUGAGCCGAUGCCGGAUUAGCUAGUUGGCGGGGUAAAGGCCCACCAAGGCGACGAUCCGUAGCUGGUCUGAGAGGAUGAUCAGCCACACUGGGACUGAGACACGGCCCAGACUCCUACGGGAGGCAGCAGUGGGGAAUAUUGGACAAUGGGGGCAACCCUGAUCCAGCAAUGCCGCGUGUGUGAAGAAGGCCUCGGGUUGUAAAGCACUUUUAUCAGGAAAGAAAUCCAGCCGGUUAAUACCCGGAUGGGAUGACGGUACCUGAGGAAUAAGCACCGGCUAACUUCGUGCCAGCAGCCGCGGUAAUACGAAGGGUGCAAGCGUUAAUCGGAAUUACUGGGCGUAAAGGGUGCGUAGGCGGCCUGUUAAGUUCGAUGUGAAAGCCCUGGGCUCAACCUGGGAAUGGCAUCGAAGACUGGCAGGCUGGAGUGCGGUAGAGGAGGGUGGAAUUCCCGGUG
RNAcentral lists this ribosomal RNA (651 nucleotides) under uncultured bacterium. Its description in RNAcentral is "bacterial SSU rRNA". It matches the Rfam family "Bacterial small subunit ribosomal RNA", at positions 28 to 675 of the family's 1533-position model. The record is from RNAcentral.